Fukomys damarensis (Damara mole-rat) is the source of this 2195-nucleotide long non-coding RNA. The record is from Ensembl. Lineage: Eukaryota; Metazoa; Chordata; Mammalia; Rodentia; Bathyergidae.
GUGAUGCUGACGUAGCCAGCCCAGGGACCCUGCUUUUGAGAAACACUGAUGUAGAAGGACCUUCACAGUGCUUACACUCAGCGAGGAGGGUUUGUUGUUACGGGAGUGGCAUCGGUGCUCCCAGUGUUCGCCUGGCAGCUGGCUCUGUGGCUCUGCAGACCCUGUGUGUGGUCAGAACCCACCUGGACCAUGUCUCUCCCAGAGGCAGACCAUCCUACAGAUCCCACGGGCUGCCCCACCCCGCUGAAGACACAGCGACCUGCUUGUCAUUCUCCUUUGGGAAAGGACAAAGAUACAUCAGAGGAAGAGCGGCUGUCCGGGGUGGAGCCUGAGCAACCUCAGUGUGGUCCAGAGAACAGCAACCCAGACAGUGUCUCCUGGAAGCAUCUAGAAACCGGUUCUCUUGGCCCCAUGCAGAAGGUGAAGUCAUCUGGCCCAGAGGCGCAGCCCCAAGGCCGUGAGACCUCUCCUCAGGGCCCAUUAAGCCUGUCCAAGAAGCACUGUGAGAACCAGGGGACCCUUCUGCAGUUUGACCGGCAGGCCCCUGGACGCAUUUCCACCUCUCCUACCUUGAGGAGGUUAAGGGGCAGUGGCAGGGGGACUUCUUUCUCACUGUCUCAGCAAGAUGCCUUGCAAGUGCCCAUUUGGGGAAGCUGGAGAGCCCUUGCAGGCUCCCCAGGUCACCAAUCCAAGAGCCCACUUGGAAGCCCAAAGGAUUCGCCACACUCCCUGUAUCCCUCAAGUCCCCACUCAGGACCACCUGCGGACCCUAGCAGGGCCCUCAGCACAGCUGACUCCAUGGAGUCCCAAACCGGGUCUCCUGAUGAGGACCCCCUUCCAGUGCCACAGCCCAUCAGCCAACCGUCCCUUCACCAGCCCUCUCUUCCAGCACAAGAAGACUGUGGACCUCCCAGCCCCAGCCCACGGCACCCAAAUCCUCAGGCAGAAGAAUCACAUCGCUCCAGGUUCUAUGAGCACAGGCGGAGUUCCGUGGUGUUGAACUUACCUGGACUUGAAGUGUUCCCCGGGGACCUCCUGGUGUCUGACGGAGCUGCCGAUUAUCUGUGCCACCCACUUCUGCUGCUGAAUUCAGAAUCCAAAAAACCAAGAUGGCCUUUCUCCAAGAGAGGAGCGGUAAGUGCUGUACAUUGUAAUUUUUGUUUAUAAUUCAGCCGCUGGUAGCUAAGGAAGUAAGAAAUGGCUGAAAAGCCUCUUCCCCCUGCUUCUUAUCUGCAUAAAGGCGGGUGGCACAGAGUCUAAGUGACUUUGUCACAGCCGCAGCACUCACUGCAGGAAGUGUCAAAUGGUGCUACUGGUCCAGUGAAACAGCGUUAAUCACCGGUGGUUAACAAGUUCUACAAAACAAGCAAAGCAAUUCCAACUUGGUGUGGCUUUACAGCACUACAUUUACACUUAGUGCAACUCAUUAAGCAGCUCACUCGGUGAGGGGAAUUUGAACAAGUGUGUGCCCCAAGUUGCAGGCAGUACCUUGUAUAUUGGGAACAUUGAAAAAUUAAUGAGAUGUCACAUGAACCAGAUUCUACAAAUACACGACCACUUCUGGGAAAGUCAGUUGGAUACAUUCUAGUAGGUUUUGUAUUUGUUUUUUUUUGUUUUUUUUUUUAAUUCAUUCUCGACUCCAGCAAUUAUUGAAGAGUAAUAAAUCUAAGUCAGUGCUCCCUGGGAGUCUUCACUACCUAGGACAUGUGUGGUCUAGGCUGUGCCUCUCCUGCUGGCUCAUUGACGGUAGAGGGAGGGGGUGUUCAUGAUCUUAGGCUCUGUCCUCCGGGUCCCUGGAGGAAGCAGAGCUGAUGUGUGUGCUCCUGACAGUUCCAACACGGAUACACUGCAGCCAGUGGGGGGCAGCAGCGCCCUGGGGAAGCUACUGUACUUUGGUUGGUUCAAACCAUGCGCUGCCCUCAGGGUCUCUCCCAUCAGAGACAGUCACUGACAUCUGCGAUGUCUCUAUGGACACAGAUACCUUGGAAACUUGAAGUCCAGUAGCUGAAUUAAAAGUCCUCUAAGGUUCCAAUCCUAGCUGCUGCUCUCACUGCUUCAUGACCUUGGCCACAUGAAUUAACUCCCUCAGCUUCGGAGCUCUUCCGGUAGAAGGCAGGAAGUCCUAAUGGCAGCCCCACAGGAAGUUGUGAUGACCAUGUGUUACACAUGAAGUUUUCCCCAGACCUUGUAAACUU